RNAcentral lists this ribosomal RNA (460 nucleotides) under uncultured bacterium. RNAcentral's name for it is "partial 16S ribosomal RNA". It matches the Rfam family "Bacterial small subunit ribosomal RNA", at positions 338 to 795 of the family's 1533-position model. The record is from RNAcentral.
CCUACGGGUGGCAGCAGUGGGGAAUAUUGGUCAAUGGGCGGGAGCCUGAACCAGCCAAGUCGCGUGAGGGAAGACGGUCCUAUGGAUUGUAAACCUCUUUAGGCGGGGAGCAAUGCCGGGCACGCGUGCCCGGAGGGAGAGUACCCGCAGAAUAAGCAUCGGCUAACUCCGUGCCAGCAGCCGCGGUAAUACGGAGGAUGCGAGCGUUAUCCGGAUUUAUUGGGUUUAAAGGGUGCGUAGGCGGAUUUUUAAGUCAGCGGUAAAAUGUCCGGGCUCAACCCGGGCCGGCCGUUGAAACUGGGAGGCUUGAGUAUGUUUGAGGCAGGCGGAAUGCGUGGUGUAGCGGUGAAAUGCUUAGAUAUCACGCAGAACCCCGAUUGCGAAGGCAGCCUGCCAAGCCAUGACUGACGCUGAUGCACGAAAGCGUGGGGAUCAAACAGGAUUAGAUACCCGAGUAGUC